CACGCCGUAAACGAUGAGUGCUAGGUGUAGGAGGUAUCGACCCCUUCUGUGCCGCAGUUAACACAAUAAGCACUCCGCCUGGGGAGUACGGCCGCAAGGUUGAAACUCAAAGGAAUUGACGGGGGCCCGCACAAGCGGUGGAGCAUGUGGUUUAAUUCGACGCAACGCGAAGAACCUUACCAAGGCUUGACAUCCACAGAAUCUCAUGGAAACGUGAGAGUGCCCUUCGGGGAACUGUGAGACAGGUGG
RNAcentral lists this ribosomal RNA (249 nucleotides) under uncultured Peptococcaceae bacterium. Its description in RNAcentral is "partial 16S ribosomal RNA". It matches the Rfam family "Bacterial small subunit ribosomal RNA", at positions 796 to 1041 of the family's 1533-position model. The record is from RNAcentral. Lineage: Bacteria; Bacillati; Bacillota; Clostridia; Eubacteriales; Peptococcaceae.